CACACACACACACACACAUACUCACUCACCUCGCAUUAUAGUAGUCCGGCAGUAAAUAUCUGUUAAUACUAUAGGUUUUUAUCAAACAUAAUGGUUAUUUUUGAGUCUGAAUUUUCUUUUGUUAUGCAAGUAUCCAGUUACUUUCAAUCACUUUUUCCUGUGUCUGGCAUCAUAUUGUCAUUUUGCUCUGAUAUUUGAGACUUUCCUUCUUCUCAAAUACAUUUGCAGUUCAUAAUUGAUGAUACAGCAGGGCCAUCAGCUCCAGUGAGUAAUCCCCUUCACAGACGAGCUCUGCUUGGCCAACGACACACCACAGCUUGCCCUCCUAGGCUCAUCCACUCUUGUCUCCCUUCAUCCGUCUCCCCGCUCCGCCUCUCCGUUUUCCUCAUCAGUGACUCCAGUCAUUACAUUGAUCUGUGGUCGGAC
This is a long non-coding RNA of Perca fluviatilis (European perch), 426 nucleotides long. RefSeq lists it as uncharacterized. Lineage: Eukaryota; Metazoa; Chordata; Actinopteri; Perciformes; Percidae. The transcript is spliced from 3 exons. The record is from RefSeq and is a predicted model, not a curated record.